This 278-nucleotide small RNA is filed under the name Caulobacter vibrioides NA1000. RNAcentral describes it as "small non-coding RNA". The record is from RNAcentral. Lineage: Bacteria; Pseudomonadati; Pseudomonadota; Alphaproteobacteria; Caulobacterales; Caulobacteraceae.
GAUGUAGAAGAGGCAGCCUGCCUUGGCGGUCUCGCCCUUGGUCCGAAGCGCCUCAUAGAUCGUCCGGGUUUCCGAGUGGCUUGGCGCGUCCGACGGAUAGCGCUCGGGGCGGACGGAGAACUGCUGGAUCGCAGAGGUCUCAAAGCCCAUGCCGACCAAGGCCUUGGCGACGUCUCGGCGAGCGUUGUCGAAGGCUUCGGUAGGACUGCCAGACUCCGCCUGAAAGUCGCCUGCGAUGACGACCGCGCUCCAGUUCGAGAACGGCCCGCCGGCGAAGG